Molecule: long non-coding RNA, 383 nt
Filed under: Helianthus annuus (common sunflower)
Lineage: Eukaryota; Viridiplantae; Streptophyta; Magnoliopsida; Asterales; Asteraceae
Description: sRNA HanXRQr2_Chr03g0126421
Source: RNAcentral
GUACUCCUCUCCUUUAUACUAUCUCCUAAAAAUCCUAAAUCUUCUCCUGUACUCCUCUUCUCCCUUCUGAUCUAACGUGCAGAGAGUGAAAGUAACGAUUUGUAGUGAGAGAAAUCCCAGAAAUCGAACUCCGGCGAAAAUCCGAAUCUCCGGCGAACCAGGUCUGAGUUAUGGUGAAAAUCCGAAUCUCCAGGAAGAUGGUGACGGUGGUGAUGACCUAAAGAGGAACGAUGACAGCGGUGAUGGCCUAAGAGGAGUUAUGAAGGUGACAUGUUGGAUCUUGGGCGCGUGUGUUGUUCCCAGAAGUAGACUUCAAGUAUUAGAUGUCAUCCACUUUUGUUGGUUUGUAACCUAGUCGAAGGUUGUGUUUUAAAACUUAAAUA